GAUGAACGCUGGCGGCGUGCCUAAUACAUGCAAGUCGAGCGAACAGACGAGGAGCUUGCUCCUCUGACGUUAGCGGCGGACGGGUGAGUAACACGUGGAUAACCUACCUAUAAGACUGGGAUCACUUCGGGAAACCGGAGCUAAUACCGGAUAACAUGUUGAACCGCAUGGUUCAACAGUGAAAGACGGUCUUGCUGUCACUUAUAGAUGGAUCCGCGCCGCAUUAGCUAGUUGGUAAGGUAACGGCUUACCAAGGCAACGAUGCGUAGCCGACCUGAGAGGGUGAUCGGCCACACUGGAAGUGAGACACGGUCCAGACUCCUACGGGAGGCAGCAGUAGGGAAUCUUCCGCAGUGGGCGAAAGCCUGACGGAGCAGCGCCGCGUGAGUGAAGAAGGUCUUCGGAUCGUAAAACUCUGUUAUUAGGGAAGAACAAAUGUGUAAGUAACUAUGCACGUCUUGACGGUACCUAAUCAGAAAGCCACGGCUAACUACGUG
Molecule: ribosomal RNA, 497 nt
Filed under: uncultured bacterium
Lineage: Bacteria
Description: partial 16S ribosomal RNA
Rfam family: Bacterial small subunit ribosomal RNA
Source: RNAcentral